Molecule: ribosomal RNA, 279 nt
Filed under: Triticum aestivum (bread wheat)
Lineage: Eukaryota; Viridiplantae; Streptophyta; Magnoliopsida; Poales; Poaceae
Description: partial small subunit ribosomal RNA
Source: RNAcentral
AUGAGUUGUAUCAGUUGGAACUGCCGGGGGCUUGGGAACCCCGAGGCAGUUCGAGAGCUUCGCAGCAUCGUGAAGCUAGAAGGUCCCUCUCUUGUCUUUGUUAUGGAAACGAAGAUAAGAGGUAAAAGAGUGGAGGAUCUGCAGCAUACUCUAGGUCUUGGAGGAUGCUUUGCGGUUGAUAGUGUUGGUUUAAGUGGUGGAGUUGGCCUUUUUUGGUCAAAAGAUGUAAAAGUUGAACUGAGGAAUUAUAGCACCUCUCACAUAGAUGUUUUGGUGUAG